This 450-nucleotide ribosomal RNA is filed under the name uncultured bacterium. Its description in RNAcentral is "partial 16S ribosomal RNA". It matches the Rfam family "Bacterial small subunit ribosomal RNA", at positions 28 to 506 of the family's 1533-position model. The record is from RNAcentral.
GAUGAACGCUGGCGGCGUGCCUAACACAUGCAAGUCGAGCGGCAGCGAGGGGUGCUUGCACCCUGUCGGCGAGCGGCGGACGGCUGAGUAACGCGUGGGAACGUGCCCCAAAGUUAGGAAUAACUGCCCGAGAGGGUAGCUAAUACCGACUAUUAUCUUCGGAUCAAAGGAUUUAUCCGCUUUGGGAGCGGCUCGCGUCGGAUUAGGUAGUUGUUGAGGUAAUGGCUCACCAAGCCGACGAUCCGUAGCUGGUCUGAGAGGAUGACCAGCAAGACUGGAACUGGGACACGGUCCAGACACCGACGGGAGGCAGCAGUGAGGAAUCAUCCACAAUGGGCGAAAGCCUGAUGGAGCAACGCCGCGUGCAGGACGAAGGCCUUCGGGUUGUAAACUGCUUUUAUAAGUGAGGAAUAUGACGGUAACUUAUGAAUAAGGAUCGGCUAACUACGU